RNAcentral lists this ribosomal RNA (2681 nucleotides) under Enterobacter hormaechei. RNAcentral's name for it is "partial 23S ribosomal RNA". Lineage: Bacteria; Pseudomonadati; Pseudomonadota; Gammaproteobacteria; Enterobacterales; Enterobacteriaceae. The record is from RNAcentral.
CGUUGCACUAUCGUUAACUGAAUACAUAGGUUAACGAGGCGAACCGGGGGAACUGAAACAUCUAAGUACCCCGAGGAAAAGAAAUCAACCGAGAUUCCCCCAGUAGCGGCGAGCGAACGGGGAGCAGCCCGGAGUCUGAAUCAGCUUGUGUGUUAGUGGAACGGUCUGGAAAGUCCGACGGUACAGGGUGAUAGUCCCGUACACGAAAAUGCACAUGCUGUGAACUCGAAGAGUAGGGCGGGACACGUGGUAUCCUGUCUGAAUAUGGGGGGACCAUCCUCCAAGGCUAAAUACUCCUGACUGACCGAUAGUGAACCAGUACCGUGAGGGAAAGGCGAAAAGAACCCCGGCGAGGGGAGUGAAAAAGAACCUGAAACCGUGUACGUACAAGCAGUGGGAGCCUCUUUAUGGGGUGACUGCGUACCUUUUGUAUAAUGGGUCAGCGACUUAUAUUCUGUAGCAAGGUUAACCGUAUAGGGGAGCCGAAGGGAAACCGAGUCUUAACUGGGCGUUAAGUUGCAGGGUAUAGACCCGAAACCCGGUGAUCUAGCCAUGGGCAGGUUGAAGGUUGGGUAACACUAACUGGAGGACCGAACCGACUAAUGUUGAAAAAUUAGCGGAUGACCUGUGGCUGGGGGUGAAAGGCCAAUCAAACCGGGAGAUAGCUGGUUCUCCCCGAAAGCUAUUUAGGUAGCGCCUCGUGAACUCAUCUUCGGGGGUAGAGCACUGUUUCGGCUAGGGGGCCAUCCCGGCUUACCAACCCGAUGCAAACUACGAAUACCGAAGAAUGUUAUCACGGGAGACACACGGCGGGUGCUAACGUCCGUCGUGAAGAGGGAAACAACCCAGACCGCCAGCUAAGGUCCCAAAGUCAUGGUUAAGUGGGAAACGAUGUGGGAAGGCACAGACAGCCAGGAUGUUGGCUUAGAAGCAGCCAUCAUUUAAAGAAAGCGUAAUAGCUCACUGGUCGAGUCGGCCUGCGCGGAAGAUGUAACGGGGCUAAACCAUGCACCGAAGCUGCGGCAGCGACACUAUGUGUUGUUGGGUAGGGGAGCGUUCUGUAAGCCGUUGAAGGUGUGCUGUGAGGCAUGCUGGAGGUAUCAGAAGUGCGAAUGCUGACAUAAGUAACGAUAAAGCGGGUGAAAAGCCCGCUCGCCGGAAGACCAAGGGUUCCUGUCCAACGUUAAUCGGGGCAGGGUGAGUCGACCCCUAAGGCGAGGCCGAAAGGCGUAGUCGAUGGGAAACAGGUUAAUAUUCCUGUACUUGGUGUUACUGCGAAGGGGGGACGGAGAAGGCUAUGUCAGCCGGGCGACGGUUGUCCCGGUUUAAGCAUGUAGGCGGAGGUUCCAGGUAAAUCCGGUACCUURUUAACGCUGAGGUGUGAUGACGAGGCACUACGGUGCUGAAGUGAUAAAUGCCCUGCUUCCAGGAAAAGCCUCUAAGCAUCAGGUAACACGAAAUCGUACCCCAAACCGACACAGGUGGUCAGGUAGAGAAUACCAAGGCGCUUGAGAGAACUCGGGUGAAGGAACUAGGCAAAAUGGUGCCGUAACUUCGGGAGAAGGCACGCUGAUGUGUAGGUGAAGCCCCUGCGGGYGGAGCUGAAAUCAGUCGAAGAUACCAGCUGGCUGCAACUGUUUAUUAAAAACACAGCACUGUGCAAACACGAAAGUGGACGUAUACGGUGUGACGCCUGCCCGGUGCCGGAAGGUUAAUUGAUGGGGUUAGCGGCAACGCGAAGCUCUUGAUCGAAGCCCCGGUAAACGGCGGCCGUAACUAUAACGGUCCUAAGGUAGCGAAAUUCCUUGUCGGGUAAGUUCCGACCUGCACGAAUGGCGUAAUGAUGGCCAGGCUGUCUCCACCCGAGACUCAGUGAAAUUGAACUCGCUGUGAAGAUGCAGUGUACCCGCGGCAAGACGGAAAGACCCCGUGAACCUUUACUAUAGCUUGACACUGAACACUGGUCCUUGAUGUGUAGGAUAGGUGGGAGGCUUUGAAGCGUGGACGCCAGUCUGCGUGGAGCCAACCUUGAAAUACCACCCUUUAAUGGCUGGUGUUCUAACGUAGACCCGUAAUCCGGGUUGCGGACAGUGUCUGGUGGGUAGUUUGACUGGGGCGGUCUCCUCCCAAAGAGUAACGGAGGAGCACGAAGGUUGGCUAAUCCUGGUCGGACAUCAGGAGGUUAGUGCAAUGGCAUAAGCCAGCUUGACUGCGAGCGUGACGGCGCGAGCAGGUGCGAAAGCAGGUCAUAGUGAUCCGGUGGUUCUGAAUGGAAGGGCCAUCGCUCAACGGAUAAAAGGUACUCCGGGGAUAACAGGCUGAUACCGCCCAAGAGUUCAUAUCGACGGCGGUGUUUGGCACCUCGAUGUCGGCUCAUCACAUCCUGGGGCUGAAGUAGGUCCCAAGGGUAUGGCUGUUCGCCAUUUAAAGUGGUACGCGAGCUGGGUUUAGAACGUCGUGAGACAGUUCGGUCCCUAUCUGCCGUGGGCGCUGGAGAAUUGAGGGGGGCUGCUCCUAGUACGAGAGGACCGGAGUGGACGCAUCACUGGUGUUCGGGUUGUCAUGCCAAUGGCACUGCCCGGUAGCUAAAUGCGGAAGAGAUAAGUGCUGAAAGCAUCUAAGCACGAAACUUGCCCCGAGAUGAGUUCUCCCUGAGACUUUAAGUCUCCUGAAGGAACGUU